GGGGCUGUAGCUCAGUGGCAGAGCACUUGCCUAGCAUGUGAGAGGCACUAGGUUCGAUCUUUAGCACCACA
Molecule: transfer RNA, 71 nt
Filed under: Marmota monax (woodchuck)
Lineage: Eukaryota; Metazoa; Chordata; Mammalia; Rodentia; Sciuridae
Description: tRNA.Ala
Rfam family: tRNA
About the family: Transfer RNA (tRNA) molecules are approximately 80 nucleotides in length.
Source: RNAcentral